RNAcentral lists this long non-coding RNA (1002 nucleotides) under Homo sapiens (human). RNAcentral describes it as "long intergenic non-protein coding RNA 2434". The record is from RNAcentral. Lineage: Eukaryota; Metazoa; Chordata; Mammalia; Primates; Hominidae.
GGUCUGAACAGUGAACUCCGCAUCGACUCACGCGUUCACCUCCUUCCGGUCUAAAUGGUAAACUCCUCUGCAUUGUAAUUCUGUUCGGUUCUAUUUUGGUGGGGCCCACGCGUCAUCACAGAGUAUCUGGGAGCCCUGCCCUCUUGCAGAUGGGAAUGAAGGCCCAGGUGCUCUGGAGAGGUGACUCUCCUCUAGGUGAGGGGUGUGUGUGUGAGAGGAGUGAGGUGCGGUGUGGGAGGGUCCUUGCAGGGUCCGGCUGCUUUCGGAGGCUGUUUUUCUCAGCUCCCCGUUUUGUCCCUCCAAAUUGUGCCCCUCUCCUUCCAAUUGUCACUCUCCUUUCCCCCAACCCUCCCUGUCUCCCAGUUGUCUCGCUUCUCAGAAAGGAAACACUGGUUCUGUAAACCUGUUUGAGAAGAAAAGCUCGAGGUUUCUUGGCCUCUCUGCUUCUGGAGCCAGGGGAAAAAAUAGCCCCAGGCUGAAGACAGGAGGGACCAGAUUGCUGCUUGGUGAUGCGAUCUCACUGCAGAGGCAGCCAGGAGACCCUCCUGAGACGAAUCGGAGAGUCCAUGCUGCUUUUACACACAUCCUAGUUCUUUUAUAACUAGCCUUUUCCUAUUAACGGACAUCAUUCAAAAGCCAGUUUUAAGCAACAUAAAUAUUGAAAACAAUACUAUACUAUUUAGAAUUAAUUAUAAGUUUUGUUUUUAAAGCCUAAAUCUUUUAUUGUUGUUUGAACCCUGGGCACUGAAGCUAAUAAUGUAACUUUUCUCCCUUCUUUCUUCUUUGGCAUAGAUUUAAAGAACUGUUAGACUCAUUUAAAAUGCUAUUAGGCAUUUUAAAGAGUAAUUGUUAAAUGUGUUGUCUCUUGUGGGACUGGAAAUGUUCUGUUCUUAUCUGGCGCUGGUUACAUCCUGUUUUUCAUUUGGGAAAGUGCAUUGAGCUGGAAAUUUAUAUGUUCAAUUUCUGUAUGUAAAUUGUACUUCAGUAAAAAUUUUCAAAAAA